GACUAGUAUGAACGGCAUCACGAAGACUAUACUGUCUCCUUUUUAUAAUCAGUGAAACUGAUCUUCCCGUGAAGAAGCGGGAAUUAUUAUAUCAGACGAGAAGACCCCAUGGAGCUUUAAGUCAAACACCAACUGCUAUACUAAAUCACUAUAACUUUGGCAGAUCUGACUGUUAACUUUCGGUUGGGGUGACCACGGAGUAAAAUAAAACCUCCACAAUGAAUGAACCAAAUCCUAAUUCAAGAAUUACACUUCUAAAAAUCAAGACAUUGUCUUUUAUUGACCCAAGCCUUUGAUCAAUGAACCAAGUUACCCUGGGGAUAACAGCGCAAUCCAUUUCAAGAGCCCCUAUCGACAAAUGGGUUUACGACCUCGAUGUUGGAUCAGGGUAUCCUGGUGGUGCAACCGCUACUAAAGGUUCGUUUGUUCAACGAUUAAAACCCU
RNAcentral lists this ribosomal RNA (444 nucleotides) under Cardioglossa melanogaster (Amiet's long-fingered frog). Its description in RNAcentral is "partial 16S ribosomal RNA". It matches the Rfam family "Bacterial large subunit ribosomal RNA", at positions 1985 to 2597 of the family's 2925-position model. The record is from RNAcentral. Lineage: Eukaryota; Metazoa; Chordata; Amphibia; Anura; Arthroleptidae.